RNAcentral lists this long non-coding RNA (280 nucleotides) under Elaeis guineensis (African oil palm). RNAcentral describes it as "long non-coding RNA (EGUI_LNC048351)". Lineage: Eukaryota; Viridiplantae; Streptophyta; Magnoliopsida; Arecales; Arecaceae. The record is from RNAcentral.
AUCAUAGAUCAUGUAUGGUGAUUUUAGAUUUGAUCUAUGCAUGCAUUAUAAAUUAAAUUAUUUAAUCUAUAUAUAUUUCACCUGCAAAUUUUUAAAAAUGCAUGCAUGAACCCCACCACGCUUUCCUACAAAUGGGUUCAGAGUCAGGUUGCGAUCUUGGGACCUGUGGGUUAUGGGCCCAGGAUCUCAUAUAAUUUUUAGCAUAAAAAAUCAGAUUAGAUCUAAUUUUUAUCAUAAAAAAUCAAAAAAAAAGAAGAGAAGAGCCAAGACAAAUGGUAUC